This 498-nucleotide ribosomal RNA is filed under the name uncultured bacterium. Its description in RNAcentral is "bacterial SSU rRNA". It matches the Rfam family "Bacterial small subunit ribosomal RNA", at positions 24 to 518 of the family's 1533-position model. The record is from RNAcentral.
UCAGGAUGAACGCUAGCUACAGGCCUAACACAUGCAAGUCGAGGGGCAGCAUGGUCGAAGCUUGCUUGACUGAUGGCGACCGGCGAAUGGGUGAGUCACGCGUGUCCAACCUGCCCUGUGCCCGGGGGAUAGCCCUUGGAAAUGAGGAUUAACACCCGAUACGUGGCGCUUCCGCAUGGCGGCGCCAUGAAACCGACACAGGAUGGGGACGCGUCGGAUUAGCUUGACGGCGGGGCAACGGCCCACCGUGGCGACGAUCCGCAGGGGUUCUGAGAGGAAGGUCCCCCACACUGGCACUGAGACACGGGCCAGACUCCUACGGGAGGCAGCAGUGAGGAAUAUUGGUCAAUGGCCGAGAGGCUGAACCAGCCAAGUAGCGUGCAGGAUGACGGCCCUACGGGUUGUAAACUGCUUUUGCGGGAGGAUAAAGUGCACUACGUGUAGUGCUUUGCAGGUAUCCCGUGAAUAAGGACCGGCUAAUUCCGUGCCAGCCGCGGC